CCCAGACAGCCAGGAUGUUGGCUUAGAAGCAGCCAUCAUUUAAAGAAAGCGUAAUAGCUCACUGGUCGAGUCGGCCUGCGCGGAAGAUGUAACGGGGCUAAACCAUGCACCGAAGCUGCGGCAGCGACACUCAGGUGUUGUUGGGUAGGGGAGCGUUCUGUAAGCCUGCGAAGGUGGCCUGUGAGGGUUGCUGGAGGUAUCAGAAGUGCGAAUGCUGACAUAAGUAACGAUAAAGCGGGUGAAAAGCCCGCUCGCCGGAAGACCAAGGGUUCCUGUCCAACGUUAAUCGGGGCAGGGUGAGUCGACCCCUAAGGCGAGGCCGAAAGGCGUAGUCGAUGGGAAACGGGUUAAUAUUCCCGUACUUGGUGUUACUGCGAAGGGGGGACGGAGAAGGCUAUGUUGGCCGGGCGACGGUUGUCCCGGUUUAAGCGUGUAGGUGUGUGUUCCAGGUAAAUCCGGUUCACUUUAACACUGAGGCGUGACGACGAGGCACUACGGUGCUGAAGCAACAAAUGCCCUGCUUCCAGGAAAAGCCUCUAAGCAUCAGGUAACAUCAAAUCGUACCCCAAACCGACACAGGUGGUCAGGUAGAGAAUAC
RNAcentral lists this ribosomal RNA (598 nucleotides) under Salmonella enterica subsp. enterica serovar Indiana. Its description in RNAcentral is "partial 23S ribosomal RNA". It matches the Rfam family "Bacterial large subunit ribosomal RNA", at positions 1084 to 1681 of the family's 2925-position model. Lineage: Bacteria; Pseudomonadati; Pseudomonadota; Gammaproteobacteria; Enterobacterales; Enterobacteriaceae. The record is from RNAcentral.